RNAcentral lists this ribosomal RNA (252 nucleotides) under uncultured bacterium. RNAcentral describes it as "partial 16S ribosomal RNA". It matches the Rfam family "Bacterial small subunit ribosomal RNA", at positions 524 to 775 of the family's 1533-position model. The record is from RNAcentral.
UACAGAGGGUGCGAGCGUUAUCCGGAUUCACUGGGUUUAAAGGGUGCGUAGGCGGGUAAGUAAGUCCGUGGUGAAAUCUCUGAGCUUAACUCAGAAACUGCCGUGGAUACUAUUUGCCUUGAAUAUUGUGGAGGUGAGCGGAAUAUGUCAUGUAGCGGUGAAAUGCUUAGAUAUGACAUAGAACACCAAUUGCGAAGGCAGCUCACUACACAAUCAUUGACGCUGAGGCACGAAAGCGUGGGGAUCAAACAG